Pestalotiopsis sp. NC0098 is the source of this 90-nucleotide non-coding RNA. Lineage: Eukaryota; Fungi; Ascomycota; Sordariomycetes; Amphisphaeriales; Sporocadaceae. The record is from the annotation of a GenBank genome assembly.
GGUCUUGUGGUCUAGUGGUAUGAUUCGCGCUUAGGGAACACCCUGAACAUUGUUUGCGCGAGGCCCCGUGUUCGAUCCACGGCAAGACCC